ACAUGCAAGUCGAGCGAGAGAUCCUUCGGAUGAUCCUAGCGGCGGACGGGUGAGUAACACGUGGGCAACCUGCCUCAUAGAGAGGAAUAGCCUUCCGAAAGGGAGAUUAAUACCUCAUAACAUUGCAGUUUCGCAUGGAACAGCAAUUAAAGGAGUAAUCCGCUAUGAGAUGGGCCCGCGGCGCAUUAGCUAGUUGGUGAGGUAAUGGCUCACCAAGGCGACGAUGCGUAGCCGACCUGAGAGGGUGAUCGGCCACAUUGGGACUGAGACACGGCCCAGACUCCUACGGGAGGCAGCAGUGGGGAAUAUUGCACAAUGGGGGAAACCCUGAUGCCAGCAACGCCGCGUGAGUGAUGACGGCCUUCGGGUUGUAAAGCUCUGUCUUCAGGGACGAUAAUGACGGUACCUGAGGAGGAAGCCACGGCUAACUACGUGCCAGCCGCGGC
Molecule: ribosomal RNA, 446 nt
Filed under: uncultured bacterium
Lineage: Bacteria
Description: bacterial SSU rRNA
Rfam family: Bacterial small subunit ribosomal RNA
Source: RNAcentral